RNAcentral lists this ribosomal RNA (406 nucleotides) under uncultured bacterium. RNAcentral describes it as "partial 16S ribosomal RNA". It matches the Rfam family "Bacterial small subunit ribosomal RNA", at positions 30 to 526 of the family's 1533-position model. The record is from RNAcentral.
AUUGAACACUGGCGGCAGACCUAACACAUGCACGUCGAGCGCGCGGCGGACGGGGGGGUAAUGUGUGGGAAACUGCCUGAUGGAGGGGGGUAACUACUGGAAACGGUAGCUAAUACCGCAGACGAUCAGAUGUGCCCAGAUGGGAUUAGCUAGUUGGUGGGGUAACGGCUCACCUAGGCGCCGAUCCCGAGCUGGUCUGAGAGGAUGACCAGCCAAAUUGGAACUGAGACACGGUCCAGAUUCCUACGGGAGGCAGCAGUGGGGAAUAUGGCACAAUGGGCGCAAGUUUGAUGCAGCCAUGGCGCGUGUGUGAAGAAGUCCUUGGGGUUGUAAAGCACGCUCAGCUGUGCGGCGGUAUUCGCAGAAGAAGCACCGGCUAACUUCGUGCCAGCAGCCGCGGUAAUUC